AUGAAGUUGGAUUCGCUAGUAAUCGCGCAUCAGCCAUGGCGCGGUGAAUACGUUCCCGGGCCUUGUACACACCGCCCGUCAAGCCAUGGGAGCCGGGGGUGCCUGAAGUUCGUGACCGCAAGGAGCGACCUAGGGCAAAACUGGUGACUGGGGCUAAGUCGUAACAAGGUAAC
RNAcentral lists this ribosomal RNA (173 nucleotides) under uncultured bacterium. RNAcentral's name for it is "partial 16S ribosomal RNA". It matches the Rfam family "Bacterial small subunit ribosomal RNA", at positions 1320 to 1500 of the family's 1533-position model. The record is from RNAcentral.